UGUUUCACAGUCGAUAAACUUUUUGCUAAGGUAAAUUGCAUGCUCUUUUCGACAAGACGCGUCAUGCUGACCCAAUACACCUCGUGGACCCUCGAAGGCCGUCAAGCACAGAAUUGAUGGUUGUUCCUUCCACCGGAGGUAACAGAAUCGGAGGUUCCUGCAACUUUUCUUUUAUUUUUCAAUGCCCCUUGGCAAUCAUUAUUUCACCUGACUGUUUGAUUUUUUUUUCAACAUCUUACAUAUGGGUUCACACGUGGCGGUCUAGAUGAGAUGUGAACCAUGACAGGUAGUUCAAUCUAUCUAAGAAACCACGAACCUCCUUCUUUACUUUUUCUCGGUUCAGGCAUUUUUUUUUUUAGCAGGAUGAACCUCGAUUCCUCCCUUACAAUGAACUCCCAGCAGCUUACCGGCCCGCACUCUGAUAGUGCACUUAUCUGAAUUCAACCUCAGUCUGAAUUAUCUCCACCAGAUGCCCCACUCCUGUUUGGGGCUUUGCUAUCAUGUCAUAGCAUAACAUUCGAUUUCAUGACGAAUCAUAUCAUGAAACAAAGUCACCAUGGCUCUCUGAUACAGGCACUGGCGUUCUGCUUCUCAAGAGGACAGUCUUCUUUCCAUAGUAGCUUGAGCAUAACGAUAUCGGUAUCUGUCCCGGCAUACCCUGACAUGACCAGGUAGAGACAUCCACAUGCUCUUCCAACAAGCCUACCAUCCUGCUUUCAACUUGCCUCUGAAACGGCC
RNAcentral lists this long non-coding RNA (738 nucleotides) under Lathyrus oleraceus (garden pea). RNAcentral describes it as "Pisum sativum (pea) long non-coding RNA (PSAT_LNC007538)". Lineage: Eukaryota; Viridiplantae; Streptophyta; Magnoliopsida; Fabales; Fabaceae. The record is from RNAcentral.